Gossypium raimondii (Peruvian cotton) is the source of this 106-nucleotide non-coding RNA. The record is from Rfam. Lineage: Eukaryota; Viridiplantae; Streptophyta; Magnoliopsida; Malvales; Malvaceae.
AUGUCACGAUGAGGGCACUUUCGUAAUAACUCAUUGAACCACUCCCAUGCCUCAUAUAAAGAUUUUCAUUAAAUUGUUGAAAUGAUGUGAUUUCAUUUUGGAGUUU